UGAAUGUCUAGGUAUAGCAUUAUACCGUGAAACUGCGAAUGGCUCAUUAAAUCAGUUAUCGUUUAUUUGAUAGUACCUUACCACUUGGAUAACCGUGGUAAUUCUAGAGCUAAUACAUGCUAAAAACCCCGACUUCGGAAGGGGUGUGUUUAUUAGAUAAAAAACCAAUGCCCUUCGGGGCUCUUUGGUGAUUCAUGAUAACCUAACGGAUCGCAUGGCCUUGCGCCGGCGACGGUUCAUUCAAAUUUCUGCCCUAUCAACUUUCGAUGGUAAGGUAUUGGCUUACCAUGGUUUCAACGGGUAACGGGGAAUUAGGGUUCGAUUCCGGAGAGGGAGCCUGAGAAACGGCUACCACAUCCAAGGAAGGCAGCAGGCGCGCAAAUUACCCAAUCCCGACACGGGGAGGUAGUGACAAUAAAUACUGAUACAGGGCUCUUUCGGGUCUUGUAAUUGGAAUGAGUACAAUUUAAACCCCUUAACGAGGAACAAUUGGAGGGCAAGUCUGGUGCCAGCAGCCGCGGUAAUUCCAGCUCCAAUAGCGUAUAUUAAAGUUGUUGCAGUUAAAAAGCUCGUAGUUGAAACUUGGGUCUGGCUAGCGGGUCCGCCUCACCGCGUGCACUUGUCCGGCUGGACCUUUCCUUCUGGAGAACCUCAUGCCCUUCACUGGGUGUGUUGGGGAACCAGGACUUUUACUUUGAAAAAAUUAGAGUGUUCAAAGCAGGCCUUUGCUCGAAUACGUUAGCAUGGAAUAAUAGAAUAGGACGUGCGGUCCUAUUUUGUUGGUUUCUAGGAUCGCCGUAAUGAUUAAUAGGGAUAGUCGGGGGCAUCAGUAUUCAAUUGUCAGAGGUGAAAUUCUUGGAUUUAUUGAAGACUAACUACUGCGAAAGCAUUUGCCAAGGAUGUUUUCAUUAAUCAGUGAACGAAAGUUAGGGGAUCGAAGACGAUCAGAUACCGUCGUAGUCUUAACCGUAAACUAUGCCGACUAGGGAUCGGGCGAUGUUUCUAUCUUGACUCGCUCGGCACCUUACGAGAAAUCAAAGUUUUU
RNAcentral lists this ribosomal RNA (1045 nucleotides) under Camposporium septatum. RNAcentral describes it as "SSU rRNA". It matches the Rfam family "Eukaryotic small subunit ribosomal RNA", at positions 52 to 1108 of the family's 1831-position model. The record is from RNAcentral. Lineage: Eukaryota; Fungi; Ascomycota; Dothideomycetes; Pleosporales; Melanommataceae.